This 214-nucleotide long non-coding RNA is filed under the name Elaeis guineensis (African oil palm). RNAcentral's name for it is "long non-coding RNA (EGUI_LNC069612)". The record is from RNAcentral. Lineage: Eukaryota; Viridiplantae; Streptophyta; Magnoliopsida; Arecales; Arecaceae.
GGGUAGUUCGGAUUGGAGUUGAACCUGGCUGGAAGAAGUCUGAAAGGGAUUCGGGGAGCAGCUGAUAGUCGUAGAAAGUCGGCUGGCGGCGGAGCUUGGUGAGCGCUUAGGGCGGUUUAAUAGAUAACUGGGGGAACUCAUGUUGAAGGAGCUCAGGUGGUGUAGUGGGAGUUCGUCCGUCGGGGGAAUUCAGUCAGCACUGUGGGAAUCCGGC